Non-coding RNA from Oryza glumipatula, 203 nucleotides. The record is from Rfam. Lineage: Eukaryota; Viridiplantae; Streptophyta; Magnoliopsida; Poales; Poaceae.
AAAAAAACAAACCCUGAUUCCAUGUCUAAGUGUUUGACCGUCCAUUUUAUUUUAAAAAAAUAUAAAAAAUUAAAAAAAUAAGUCACGUAUAAAGUAUUAAUCACGUUUUAUCAUCUAACAACAAUGAAAAUACUAAUUAUAAAAAAAUUUUAUAUAAGACGAACAGUCAAACGUUGGUACGGAAAUCCAAGAUUUGCUUUUUU